GAUGAACGCUGGCGGCGUGCCUAAUACAUGCAAGUCGAGCGAACAGACGAGGAGCUUGCUCCUCUGACGUUAGCGGCGGACGGGUGAGUAACACGUGGAUAACCUACCUAUAAGACUGGGAUAACUUCGGGAAACCGGAGCUAAUACCGGAUAAUAUAUUGAACCGCAUGGUUCAAUAGUGAAAGACGGUUUUGCUGUCACUUAUAGAUGGAUCCGCGCCGCAUUAGCUAGUUGGUAAGGUAACGGCUUACCAAGGCAACGAUGCGUAGCCGACCUGAGAGGGGGUUGCGCCACCCGGGAAGUGAGACGCGGCCCAGGGCCUGAGGGGAGGCACAGGUAGGGAAGCUACCGAACUGGGGGAAAGCCUGACGGAGCAACGGCGGGGGGGUGAAGAAGGGUUUCGUGUUGGAAAACGUUUUUAUGGGGGAAAAACAAUUUUGUAAGUAACUAUGCGCGUCUUAAGGGAACCUAAUAAGAAGGCCCGGGUAAAUUAGUG
RNAcentral lists this ribosomal RNA (496 nucleotides) under uncultured bacterium. RNAcentral's name for it is "partial 16S ribosomal RNA". It matches the Rfam family "Bacterial small subunit ribosomal RNA", at positions 28 to 507 of the family's 1533-position model. The record is from RNAcentral.